This 467-nucleotide ribosomal RNA is filed under the name uncultured bacterium. Its description in RNAcentral is "partial 16S ribosomal RNA". It matches the Rfam family "Bacterial small subunit ribosomal RNA", at positions 28 to 506 of the family's 1533-position model. The record is from RNAcentral.
GACGAACGCUGGCGGCGUGCUUAACACAUGCAAGUCGAACGGAAAGGCCCUGCUUUCGUGGGGUGCUCGAGUGGCGAACGGGUGAGUAACACGUGAGUAACCUGCCCUUGACUUUGGGAUAACUUCAGGAAACUGGGGCUAAUACCGGAUAGGAGCUCCUGCUGCAUGGUGGGGGUUGGAAAGUUUCGGCGGUUGGGGAUGGACUCGCGGCUUAUCAGCUUGUUGGUGGGGUAGUGGCUUACCAAGGCUUUGACGGGUAGCCGGCCUGAGAGGGUGACCGGCCACAUUGGGACUGAGAUACGGCCCAGACUCCUACGGGAGGCAGCAGUGGGGAAUAUUGCACAAUGGGCGGAAGCCUGAUGCAGCAACGCCGCGUGCGGGAUGACGGCCUUCGGGUUGUAAACCGCUUUCGCCUGUGACGAAGCGUGAGUGACGGUAAUGGGGAAAGAAGCACCGGCUAACUACGU